This 413-nucleotide ribosomal RNA is filed under the name uncultured bacterium. RNAcentral describes it as "bacterial SSU rRNA". It matches the Rfam family "Bacterial small subunit ribosomal RNA", at positions 352 to 782 of the family's 1533-position model. The record is from RNAcentral.
CAGUGGGGAAUAUUGGACAAUGGGCGCAAGCCUGAUCCAGCAAUGCCGCGUGAGUGAUGAAGGCCUUAGGGUUGUAAAGCUCUUUUACCCGGGAUGAUAAUGACAGUACCGGGAGAAUAAGCUCCGGCUAACUCCGUGCCAGCAGCCGCGGUAAUACGGAGGGAGCUAGCGUUGUUCGGAAUUACUGGGCGUAAAGCGCACGUAGGCGGCUAUUCAAGUCGGGGGUGAAAGCCCGGGGCUCAACCCCGGAACUGCCCUCGAAACUAGGUAGCUAGAAUCUUGGAGAGGUCAGUGGAAUUCCGAGUGUAGAGGUGAAAUUCGUAGAUAUUCGGAAGAACACCAGUGGCGAAGGCGACUGACUGGACAAGUAUUGACGCUGAGGUGCGAAAGCGUGGGGAGCAAACAGGAUUAGA